UAAGAAAACUCGUUUGUUCCA
Molecule: non-coding RNA, 21 nt
Filed under: Caenorhabditis elegans
Lineage: Eukaryota; Metazoa; Nematoda; Chromadorea; Rhabditida; Rhabditidae
Source: RNAcentral